CCUACGGGAGGCAGCAGUGGGGAAUAUUGCGCAAUGGGCGAAAGCCUGACGCAGCGACGCCGCGUGAGGGAUGAAGGUCUUCGGAUCGUAAACCUCUGUCAGCAGGGAAGAACGGUCACUGUGCUAAUCAGCAGUGAAUUGACGGUACCUGCAAAGGAAGCACCGGCUAACUCCGUGCCAGCAGCCGCGGUAAUACGGAGGGUGCGAGCGUUAAUCGGAAUUACUGGGCGUAAAGCGCUCGUAGGCGGUAUGUCAAGUCAAGGGUGAAAUCCCCGCGCUCAACGUGGGAACUGCCUUUGAAACUGGCAAACUGGAGUGUGUGAGAGGAGAGUAGAAGUCCAGGUGUAGGAGUGAAAUCCGUAGAUAUCUGGAGGAACAUCAGUGGCGAAGGCGACUAUCUGGAACAUAACUGACGCUGAGGAGCGAAAGCGUGGGUAGCAAACAGGAUUAGAUACCCUAGUAGUC
This 465-nucleotide ribosomal RNA is filed under the name uncultured bacterium. RNAcentral's name for it is "partial 16S ribosomal RNA". It matches the Rfam family "Bacterial small subunit ribosomal RNA", at positions 338 to 795 of the family's 1533-position model. The record is from RNAcentral.